RNAcentral lists this ribosomal RNA (454 nucleotides) under uncultured bacterium. Its description in RNAcentral is "bacterial SSU rRNA". It matches the Rfam family "Bacterial small subunit ribosomal RNA", at positions 28 to 524 of the family's 1533-position model. The record is from RNAcentral.
GACGAACGCUGGCGGUGUGCUUCACACAUGCAAGUCGAACGAGGUAGCAAUACCUAGUGGCGGACGGGUGAGUAACGCGUGGGAAUCUGCCCAAGGGUGGGGAUAACUAGCCGAAAGGUUAGCUAAUACCGCAUAUGCCGUGAGGUAAAAGGAGUAAUCCGCCCCUGGAUGAGCCUGCGUCUGAUUAGCUAGUUGGUAAGGUAAAGGCUUACCAAGGCUUCGAUCAGUAGCUGGUCUGAGAGGACGAUCAGCCACAAUGGGACUGAGACACGGCCCAUACUCCUACGGGAGGCAGCAGUGGGGAAUUUUACGCAAUGGGGGAAACCCUGACGUAGCGACACCGCGUGAGCGAAGAAGCCCUUUGGGGUGUAAAGCUCUGUCAGCAGGGACGAAAAAAAAUGACGGUACCUGCAGAGGAAGCAUCGGCUAACUACGUGCCAGCAGCCGCGGUAAU